ACCUUCCUUGGCAACCGGCCUUGGCAACCGGCCUUGGCAACCGGCCUUGGAAACCGACCUUGGCAACCGGCCUUAGCAACCGGCCCAGAAACCACCCCUGGAAACUGUCCAUAGCAACUGCCCCGGCAACUAUCCCAGCAACUGUCCCUAGCAACCACCCUGGCAACCAUCCCAGCAACUGUCCCUAGCAACCACCCUGGCAACCAUCCCAGCAACCAUCCCAGCAACUGUCCCUAGCAACCACCCCAGCAACCAUCCCAGCAACCAUCCCUGGAAACCAUCUCUAGCAACUGCCCCUGGCAACCACCCCUGGCAACCACCCCUGUGGGUGCCAACCCCCUGUGCAGAAGAUAUUACAGACAACUGGAGAACACUGCUGGAUGAGUGGCAGAAGCCAGAGACACUUAUACACAGAAAUUCUUCUGGCAUUAUAAUCCUAAGAGAAAAUUACUCUUAAAUGGAGCUUCCCCUGCCCCUGGUUCAACCCCACGAGGCUGAGCCCCAUUUCACACGCUGCUCAGCUCAUCUGAAGCUGUUAUGUCGUGCACCUGGAACAGUCUGGGGUGAUUUUUUAAAGCCUGGCACGGAGACCAAGGGAGUUGGCAGGGACCACGUGCAGCUGUGCACACCAGGACAAGGAUUUUGGAAAACCUGCUCUGUGCCACCCAGAGAUCCCCAUCUGCAGUGUCUCCAGUGGAUAACACAGAUGAUAUACCUGCCUGAUUUGCAAGAAGCAAUGAGAGGCAAUAACAGACCAUCACUGGGAUGCUUCUGACCCCUUGCACACACAGGCACCCCCAUGUCCUCCAGCUGCACCAUCCUCCCUACAAUCCCUCUCUGCCAGCAAUAGCUGUGAUGCCACUGUGGUGCCAGGUGAAGGUAUUUGGCAGCAGACAGACAUGAGUCAUCUCACCUACUGAAACCUUCCCAUCAUCGAGUCAUGCAAGCCCUCAGACAGAACGGGCAGCAUCCCAUCAAUUCUGGACAUGGUAAAGUCAAUAUGAGAAAUCUGGCAGGUGGAGCUCAUGCUGACACCUCAUUUUGAACUCCUCUGAACUGUCCUGGUCUUCUUGGCAUGAAGGUUCUGUGUUUGUUUUAAUGGGGC
RNAcentral lists this long non-coding RNA (1105 nucleotides) under Cyanistes caeruleus (blue tit). RNAcentral's name for it is "lncRNA (ENSCCEG00000005724.1)". Lineage: Eukaryota; Metazoa; Chordata; Aves; Passeriformes; Paridae. The record is from RNAcentral.